CCUACGGGGGGCUGCAGUAAGGAAUAUUGGACAAUGGGCGCAAGCCUGAUCCAGCCAUGCCGCGUGAAGGAUGAAGGCCCUAUGGGUCGUAAACUUCUUUUAUACGGGACAAAACCCCCCGACGUGUCGGGGGUUGAUGGUACUGUAAGAAUAAGGGUCGGCUAACUUCGUGCCAGCAGCCGCGGUAAUACGAAGGACCCAAGCGUUAUCCGGAUUUAUUGGGUUUAAAGGGUGCGUAGGCGGAUUAGUAAGUCAGUGGUGAAAGCCCAUCGCUCAACGGUGGAACUGCCAUUGAUACUGCUAGUCUUGAGUAUGGUUGAGGUGGGCGGAAUGUGUCAUGUAGCGGUGAAAUGCUUAGAUAUGACACAGAACACCAAUUGCGAAGGCAGCUCGCUAAGCCAUAACUGACGCUGAGGCACGAAAGCGUGGGGAGCAAACAGGAUUAGAUACCCCGGUAGUC
RNAcentral lists this ribosomal RNA (460 nucleotides) under uncultured Bacteroidota bacterium. RNAcentral describes it as "bacterial SSU rRNA". It matches the Rfam family "Bacterial small subunit ribosomal RNA", at positions 338 to 795 of the family's 1533-position model. The record is from RNAcentral. Lineage: Bacteria; Pseudomonadati; Bacteroidota.